AGGGGUAUAGCUCAGUGAUAGAGUGCAUGCCUAGCAUGCAUGAGGUCCUGGGUUCAAGCCCCAGUACCUCCA
RNAcentral lists this transfer RNA (72 nucleotides) under Camelus bactrianus (Bactrian camel). It matches the Rfam family "tRNA". Rfam says of the family: Transfer RNA (tRNA) molecules are approximately 80 nucleotides in length. Lineage: Eukaryota; Metazoa; Chordata; Mammalia; Artiodactyla; Camelidae. The record is from Rfam by way of RNAcentral. RNAcentral also lists the same sequence under 2 other names.